UCGGACGGGGUGAGUAACGCGUGAGAAUCUAGCUUCAGGUCGGGGACAACCACUGGAAACGGUGGCUAAUACCGGAUAUGCCGAGAGGUGAAAGGCUUGCUGCCUGAAGAUGAGCUCGCGUCUGAUUAGCUAGUAGGUGUGGUAAAAGCGCACCUAGGCGACGAUCAGUAGCUGGUCUGAGAGGAUGAUCAGCCACACUGGGACUGAGACACGGCCCAGACUCCUACGGGAGGCAGCAGUGGGGAAUUUUCCGCAAUGGGCGAAAGCCUGACGGAGCAAUACCGCGUGAGGGAGGAAGGCUCUUGGGUUGUAAACCUCUUUCUCAGGGAAGAAAAAAAUGACGGUACCUGAGGAAUAAGCAUCGGCUAACUCCGUGCCAGCAGCCGCGGUAAUACGGAGGAUGCAAGCGUUAUCCGGAAUGAUUGGGCGUAAAGGGUCCGCAGGUGGCUAUGUAAGUCUGCUGUUAAAGAACCUAGCUUAACUAGGUAAAAGCAGUGGAAACUACAAGGCUAGAGUGCGUUCGGGGUAGAGGGAAUUCCUGGUGUAGCGGUGAAAUGCGUAGAUAUCAGGAAGAACACCAGGGCGAAGGCGCUCUACUAGGCCGCAACUGACACUGAGGGACGAAAGCUAGGGGAGCGAAUGGGAUUAGAUACCCCAGGAAGUCAUGCGUUA
This 672-nucleotide ribosomal RNA is filed under the name Nodularia sphaerocarpa PUPCCC 420.1/1. RNAcentral describes it as "bacterial SSU rRNA". It matches the Rfam family "Bacterial small subunit ribosomal RNA", at positions 98 to 804 of the family's 1533-position model. The record is from RNAcentral. Lineage: Bacteria; Bacillati; Cyanobacteriota; Cyanophyceae; Nostocales; Nodulariaceae.